RNAcentral lists this long non-coding RNA (199 nucleotides) under Lathyrus oleraceus (garden pea). RNAcentral's name for it is "Pisum sativum (pea) long non-coding RNA (PSAT_LNC019309)". Lineage: Eukaryota; Viridiplantae; Streptophyta; Magnoliopsida; Fabales; Fabaceae. The record is from RNAcentral.
CUGCCUCUCCUUAUUAUUCUUUUUAUUCCUCCCUUUAUCCACUUUUCUCUAUUUGUUUUUUUGUUCAUUUUCAACUAAAGCUCCCUCAUUAUUUUUCUUUUCUACUUCUUGCUUACUUUCUUUUAUUCCUUCCUCUUGUUCUUUUUUUGAUUCAACAACACAUCUUUCUUUUUUAAAAUUCACAUCAACUUCUGUUUCA